RNAcentral lists this ribosomal RNA (432 nucleotides) under uncultured bacterium. RNAcentral's name for it is "partial 16S ribosomal RNA". It matches the Rfam family "Bacterial small subunit ribosomal RNA", at positions 29 to 507 of the family's 1533-position model. The record is from RNAcentral.
ACGCACGCUGGCGGCAUGCCUAACCCAUGCAAGUCGAACGAGACCUUCGGGUCUAGUGGCGCACGGGUGCGUAACGCGUGGGAACCUGCCCUUAGGUUCGGAAUAACUCCCCGAAAGGGGUGCUAAUACCGGAUAAUGUCUUCGGACCAAAGAUUUAUCGCCUUUGGAUGGGCCCGCGUUGGAUUAGCUAGUUGGUAGGGUAAAAGCCUACCAAGGCGACGAUCCAUAGCUGGUCUGAGAGGAUGAUCAGCCACACUGGGACUGAGACACGGCCCAGACUCCUACGGGAGGCAGCAGUGGGGAAUAUUGGACAAUGGGCGAAAGCCUGAUCCAGCAAUGCCGCGUGAGUGAUGAAGGCCUUAGGGUUGUAAAGCUCUUUUACCCGGGAUGAUAAUGACAGUACCGGGAGAAUAAGCUCCGGCUAACUCCGUG